AAGACUUUAAGCUAAAAAAAACUAAAAACCUUCAAAGUUUUAAUUGAGUAAUCCUCAAGUCUUG
This 64-nucleotide transfer RNA is filed under the name Eisenia nordenskioldi nordenskioldi. RNAcentral describes it as "tRNA-Trp". The record is from RNAcentral. Lineage: Eukaryota; Metazoa; Annelida; Clitellata; Crassiclitellata; Lumbricidae.